GAAAUAAACAUACCACCCAGGAGGUGUGAGAAAAUAUUUUAUAUAUAUAUAUAUAUAUAUAUAUAUAUGGUAUAUCUAUAUGUAUAAAAUUAAAAUUGAUUUACUCACCCCUCCUGGGUGGUAUGUUUUAUAUA
This 134-nucleotide microRNA precursor is filed under the name Pelobates cultripes (western spadefoot toad). The record is from RNAcentral. Lineage: Eukaryota; Metazoa; Chordata; Amphibia; Anura; Pelobatidae.